ACUGAACUGUACUGUACUGUAUUGUACUGUACUGUACUGUAUUGUAUUGUAUUCUAUGGUAUUGUAUUCUAUGGUAUUGUACUGUACUGUAUUGUAUUGUAUUGUACUGUAUUGUAUUGUACUGUACUGUAUUGUAAUGUACUGUAUUCUAUGGUAUUGUACUGUAUUGUAUUGUACUGUACUGUACUGUAUUGUAUUGUAUUGUAUUGUAUUGUACUGUACUGUAUUCUAUGGUAUUGUAUUGUACUGUACUGUAUUGUAUUCUAUGGUAUUGUACUGUACUGUACUGUAUUGUAUUGUAUUGUACUGUACUGUAUUGUAUUGUAUUGUAUUGUACUGUACUGUAUUGUAUUGUAUUCUGUGGUAUUGUACUGUACUGUAUUGUAUUGUACUGUACUGUAUUGUACUGUACUGUACUGUACUGUACUGUACUGUACUGUAUUGUGCCCCUGGUGGACAGAUGCUCUAUCGUCACAUUUCACUGGGACCGACCUGCCAAAGAUCUCACAGAGCACAGAGCUCACACUCUGAGGAGAAAACAGGAGAACAAACAAACUCACUCAGCAGUUCAACGAUCAAUCUGGGAUCAAUACUAAAGCUGAUCGAGAGUUGAAAUCCAUGUGACCCUGCAGCUGCUCUUUCAGCCAAUCAGAGCGCAGCGUUGUUUCUCCUCCUGCUGUGACCUCUAACACAGUUUACUCAGAGCUGAUUCACAAAGUUCAUCUACGAGUGUUGCACAAAUGUUCUGGAAACGUUCCAAGUCGACUCCGGUGUGAAGACAUCAGAGUGACCAGAGAUCAGUCUGUCUGAAUAUCAUCCAAUCAUUACAGUCCUUAUCAAUACAUCCAAUCAUUACAGUCCUUAUCAAUACAUCCAAUCAUUACAGUCCUUAUCAAUACAUCCAAUCAUUACAGUCCUUAUCAAUACAUCCAAUCAUUACAGUCCUUAUCAAUACAUCCAAUCAUUAAAGUCCUUAUCAAUACAUCCAAUCAUUAAAGUCCUUAUCAAUACAUCCAAUCAGACAGACAGGUGAGCAGACAGACAGGUGAGCAGACAGACAGGUGAGCAGACAGACAGGUGUACCUCCAAACAUGAUGUAAUCUCUGAACAGACAGACAGGUGAGCAGACAGACAGGUGAGCAGACAGACAGGUGAGCAGACAGACAGGUGUACCUCCAAACAUGAUGUAAUCUCUGAACAGACAGACAGGUGAGCAGACAGACAGGUGAGCAGACAGACAGGUGUACCUCCAAACAUGAUGUAAUCUCUGAACAGACAGACAGGUGAGCAGACAGACAGGUGUACCUCCAAACAUGAUGUAAUCUCUGAACAGACAGACAGGUGAGCAGACAGACAGGUGAGCAGACAGACAGGUGUACCUCCAAACAUGAUGUAAUCUCUGAACAGACAGACAGGUGAGCAGACAGACAGGUGUACCUCCAAACAUGAUGUAAUCUCUGAACAGACAGACAGGUGAGCAGACAGACAGGUGAACAGACAGACAGGUGAGCAGACAGACGGGUGUACCUCCAAACAUGAUGUAAUCUCUGAACAGACAGACAGGUGAGCAGACAGACAGGUGUACCUCCAAACAUGAUGUAAUCUCUGAACAGACAGACAGGUGAGCAGACAGACAGGUGAACAGACAGACAGGUGAGCAGACAGACA
Molecule: long non-coding RNA, 1668 nt
Organism: Scomber scombrus (Atlantic mackerel)
Lineage: Eukaryota; Metazoa; Chordata; Actinopteri; Scombriformes; Scombridae
Exons: 3
Source: RefSeq, a predicted model, not a curated record